UCACAUGUCAUAAGGAAGUACAAAGGUGUU
This 30-nucleotide non-coding RNA is filed under the name Mus musculus (house mouse). The record is from RNAcentral. Lineage: Eukaryota; Metazoa; Chordata; Mammalia; Rodentia; Muridae.